RNAcentral lists this ribosomal RNA (253 nucleotides) under uncultured bacterium. RNAcentral's name for it is "partial 16S ribosomal RNA". It matches the Rfam family "Bacterial small subunit ribosomal RNA", at positions 524 to 776 of the family's 1533-position model. The record is from RNAcentral.
UACGUAGGUGGCAAGCGUUAUCCGGAUUUAUUGGGCGUAAAGGGAACGCAGGCGGUCUUUUAAGUCUGAUGUGAAAGCCUUCGGCUCAACCGGGGUAGUGCAUUGGAAACUGGGAGACUUGAGUGCAGAAGAGGAGAGUGGAACUCCAUGUGUAGCGGUGAAAUGCGUAGAUAUAUGGAAGAACACCAGUGGCGAAAGCGGCUCUCUGGUCUGUAACUGACGCUGAGGUUCGAAAGCGUGGGUAGCAAACAGG